CUGGCGGCGUGCCUAAUACAUGCAAGUCGAGCGGACGACGGGAGCUUGCUCCCUUAGGUCGCGGCGGACGGGUGAGUAACACGUGGGUAACCUGCCUGUAAGACUGGGAUAACUCCGGGAAACCGGGGCUAAUACCGGAUGCUUGAUUGAACCGCAUGGUUCAAUCAUAAAAGGUGGCUUUUAGCUACCACUUACAGAUGGACCCGCGGCGCAUUAACUAGUUGGUGAGGUAACGGCUCACCAAGGCGACGAUGCGUAGCCGACCUGAGGAGGGUUGUAUGGGCCACACUGGGACUGAGAUCACGGCUCAGACUCCUACGGGAGGCAGCAGUAGGGAAUCUUCCGCCAUUGACGAAAGUUUGACGGAGCAACGCCGCGUUAGUGAUGAAGGUUUUCGGAUCGUAAAACUGCUGUUGUUAGGGAAGAACAAGUACCGUUCGAAUAGGGCGGUACCUUGACGGUACCUAACCAGAAAGCCACGGCUAACUACGUGGCAGCAGCCGCGGUAAUACGUAGGUGGCAAGCGUUGUCCGGAAUUAUUGGGCGUAAAGCGCGCGCAGGCGGUUUCUUAAGUCUGAUGUGAAAGCCCCCGGCUCAACCGGGGAGGGUCAUUGGAAACUGGGGAACUUGAGUGCAGAAGAGGAGAGUGGAAUUCCACGUGUAGCGGUGAAAUGCGUAGAGAUGUGGAGGAACACCAGUGGCGAAGGCGACUCUCUGGUCUGUAACUGACGCUGAGGCGCGAAAGCGUGGGGAGCGAACAGGAUUAGAUACCCUGGUAGUCCACGCCGUAAACGAUGAGUGCUAAGUGUUAGAGGGUUUCCGCCCUUUAGUGCUGCAGCAAACGCAUUAAGCACUCCGCCUGGGGAGUACGGUCGCAAGACUGAAACUCAAAGGAAUUGACGGGGGCCCGCCCAAGCGGUGGAGCAUGUGGUUUAAUUCGAAGCAACGCGAAGAACCUUACCAGGUCUUGACAUCCUCUGACAACCCUAGAGAUAGGGCUUCCCCUUCGGGGGCAGAGUGACAGGUGGUGCAUGGUUGUCGUCAGCUCGUGUCGUGAGAUGUUGGGUUAAGUCCCGCAACGAGCGCAACCCUUGAUCUUAGUUGCCAGCAUUCAGUUGGGCACUCUAAGGUGACUGCCGGUGACAAACCGGAGGAAGGUGGGGAUGACGUCAAAUCAUCAUGCCCCUUAUGACCUGGGCUACACACGUGCUACAAUGGGCAGAACAAAGGGCAGCGAAGCCGCGAGGCUAAGCCAAUCCCACAAAUCUGUUCUCAGUUCGGAUCGCAGUCUGCAACUCGACUGCGUGAAGCUGGAAUCGCUAGUAAUCGCGGAUCAGCAUGCCGCGGUGAAUACGUUCCCGGGCCUUGUACACACCGCCCGUCACACCACGAGAGUUUGUAACACCCGAAGUCGGUGAGGUAACCUUUUGGAGCCAGCCGCCGAAGG
Molecule: ribosomal RNA, 1447 nt
Filed under: Bacillus licheniformis
Lineage: Bacteria; Bacillati; Bacillota; Bacilli; Caryophanales; Bacillaceae
Description: 16S ribosomal RNA
Rfam family: Bacterial small subunit ribosomal RNA
Source: RNAcentral